RNAcentral lists this ribosomal RNA (427 nucleotides) under uncultured prokaryote. RNAcentral's name for it is "bacterial SSU rRNA". It matches the Rfam family "Bacterial small subunit ribosomal RNA", at positions 355 to 774 of the family's 1533-position model. The record is from RNAcentral.
UAGGGAAUAUUAGUCAAUGGGCGAAAGUCUGACGAUGCGACGCCGCAUGAACGAUGAAGGCCUUCGGGUUGUAACGUUCUGUUGCCCUAGAACAAGAGUGACUGACGAAUAGGCGGUCACGAUGAGGGUACAGGAAGAGGAAGCACCGGCUAAUUCCGUGCCAGCAGCCGCGGUAACACGUAGGGGGCAAGCGUUGUUCGGGAUUACUGGGCGUAAAGGGCAUGUAGGCGGUUUAGUAAGCUUGGCGUGAAAGACCACGGCUUAACUGUGGGAUUGCGUUGGGAACUAGAUGACUAGAGUUACGGAGAGGGAGCUAGAAUUCCUGGUGUAGGGGUGGAAUCUGUAGAGAUCAGGAAGAAUACCGAUGGCGAAGGCAAGCUCCUGGCCGAUGACUGACGCUGAGGUGUGAAAGUGUGGGGAUCAAACA